This 584-nucleotide ribosomal RNA is filed under the name uncultured freshwater bacterium. Its description in RNAcentral is "bacterial SSU rRNA". It matches the Rfam family "Bacterial small subunit ribosomal RNA", at positions 8 to 602 of the family's 1533-position model. The record is from RNAcentral.
AGAGUUUGAUCCUGGCUCAGAAUGAACGUUGGCGGCGUGGAUUAGGCAUGCAAGUCGUACGCACAGCAAUGUGAGUGGCGCAAGGGUGAGUAAUGCGAAGGUAACCAACCCUGGAGUUGGGCAUAGCCGCGGGAAACUGCGGGUAAUUCCCAGCGAUGUCGCGAGAUGGCAUCAUCUUGCGACCAAAGGUGUGAUUCCGCUCUAGGACGGGCCUUCGUGGUAUUAGGUAGUUGGUGAGGUAACGGCUCACCAAGCCGACGAUGCCUACCGGGUGUGAGAGCAUGACCCGGCACACUGGAACUGAGACACUGUCCAGACACCUACGGGUGGCUGCAGUCGAGAAUCUUCGGCAAUGGGCGAAAGCCUGACCGAGCGACGCCGCGUGAGGGAAGAAGGCCUUCGGGUUGUAAACCUCUUUCGUAGAGGAGGAAGGGGCCGUGCAGAGCGGUCUUUGACCUAUUCUAGGAAGAAGCUUGGGCUAAGUUCGUGCCAGCAGCCGCGGUAAGACGAACCAAGCGAACGUUAUUCGGAAUUACUGGGCUUAAAGCGCGUGUAGGCGGAUGACCACGUCAGUCGUUGAAAAU